AACGCUAGCUACAGGCUUAACACAUGCAAGUCGAGGGGCAGCAUGUUGGUUGCUUGCAACCAAUGAUGGCGACCGGCGCACGGGUGAGUAACGCGUAUCCAACCUUCCCCUUACUCGGGUCCAGCCCGUUGAAAGACGGAUUAAUCCCCGAUGCUCUCAUAUACUGGCAUCAGUUUAUGAGCAAAGAUUUAUCGGUUAUGGAUGGGGAUGCGUCUGAUUAGCUUGUUGGCGGGGUAACGGCCCACCAAGGCAACGAUCAGUAGGGGUUCUGAGAGGAAGGUCCCCCACAUUGGAACUGAGACACGGUCCAAACUCCUACGGGAGGCAGCAGUGAGGAAUAUUGGUCAAUGGGCGAGAGCCUGAACCAGCCAAGUAGCGUGCAGGAAGACGGCCCUAUGGGUUGUAAACUGCUUUUAUACAGGAAUAAAGUUAGCCACGUGUGGUUAUUUGUAGGUACUGUAUGAAUAAGGACCGGCUAAUUCCGUGCCAGCAGCCGCGGUAAUACGGAAGGUCCAGGCGUUAUCCGGAUUUAUUGGGUUUAAAGGGAGCGUAGGCCGUCUGUUAAGCGUGUUGUGAAAUGUAGAUGCUCAACAUCUGAAUUGCAGCGCGAACUGGCAGACUUGAGUGUGCGCAACGUAGGCGGAAUUCGUGGUGUAGCGGUGAAAUGCUUAGAUAUCACGAAGAACUCCGAUUG
Molecule: ribosomal RNA, 694 nt
Filed under: uncultured bacterium
Lineage: Bacteria
Description: bacterial SSU rRNA
Rfam family: Bacterial small subunit ribosomal RNA
Source: RNAcentral